Molecule: long non-coding RNA, 1286 nt
Filed under: Gossypium barbadense (sea-island cotton)
Lineage: Eukaryota; Viridiplantae; Streptophyta; Magnoliopsida; Malvales; Malvaceae
Description: long non-coding RNA (GBAR_LNC017017)
Source: RNAcentral
ACAGUUAUUUGCCUACUCAAUACAAUCAAUACGAAAGGAGAUUGGUGGGAUCUGCGAAUUGUUUCAAAUGUAUAGGCAAAGCGGAAAAUGUUGAGCAUGCUUUCUGGGAUUGUUCAGCUGCAAAGGAAAUUUGAGGAAAGUUAGGUAUAGAAUGGCCACAGGAAUUAAACGAGGGUUAGUUUAAAGAUUGGAUGUUAUACCUCUAUAACAGUGUCUUAAUUUAAAAAUGUCGAGUAAUAGCCUGCUCAUUCUGGGCUAUGUGGACAGCUAGGAACAAAUACCUACAUAAGGGGAUACCACAGAAUGGGUCUGACAUAGCUUGUUUUAUCACGAGUUAUAUACAGGAAUUGGAGGAACUUAAUAAGAGGUUACCUGGUCGAAGAGUGAAGGGAGAGUGUUGGAGACCGCCGGAGGAGUAGUAUGUGAAAAUCAACUUUGAUGCUACUUUUCACAAACAAAGCAAAAGUUCAUGUUUAGGGAUAGUGGUCAGGGAUUCAAGUGGGAGGGUUCUGAAUUUUACCAUGCACCUAAAUGAACACAUACCAACUAGUUUUGCUGUAGAGGAGAUUGCGUGUGUCCAGGCGAUUCGGCUAGGGUUGGAUCUGGGAAUCGUGAAGGCUGAAAUUGAGGAUGAUGCGUUGUUAGUCGUAAAGAAGGUACAAAUAGGGAAUACAUAUAAAUCUGAAAUCAGUACCUAUGUAUUAAGCACUAGAAUGCUAAGCUCUAAUUAUGAAGCAUUCUUGUUUAGACAUACCUCGAGACAGGCAAAUAAAGUGGCGCAUGCAUUAGCAGUGGAGGGGUUAAAAAGGACUAAGGGGUACUUAUCUGCAAAAUGGAUUUCCUCAGCCGGCUGCUAUGAAGGCAGAUGAUGAUUGCCAAAGAGUGAGUAUCUCUGAUAGAGUAAGUGGCGUAGUGAGGUUUGCAUGGUGGAACAGAGGGAGUAGAUAGAACAGAAGAAUCGGUCAAGUUUGAAAAGGGUCUGCUGUCGACUAGGGGUUUAUUGAGCGAAACCUCGGUCAAAAUGAUCUCUCGAUGAACAAAGUGGAUGGGUUAGUGGGGCUACCUAGAAAUCAAGCUGGUUGAAGAAGACAUCGGCUUUGUGAUUAGUUUUGGACUCUUAAGAGAGGUGCUUCCAGUUUUUGGCAUGAGUUUCGGCUAACAGAUGAUCAGUAGAUGAGCGGGAACUGAUGGGUUCUAGAUGUUAUGAGAGGAGCUUCGAUCGUCGAAAGAUUGGCUUCUGAUUAGGGAUGUCUAUUUGGUUUUUUUUUUUUUUUUUUGGAAACGAC